Molecule: long non-coding RNA, 306 nt
Filed under: Homo sapiens (human)
Lineage: Eukaryota; Metazoa; Chordata; Mammalia; Primates; Hominidae
Description: HSALNT0121410
Source: RNAcentral
CUUCUGCGCCAUCUUGUGGCAGUUGAGAGCAGGCCCAGGGCAGAAGGGAGGCAGGGGCAUUAAGAGCUCAGGCCUCCAGCUGAGGGACUGCAGAUGUUGGACUCAUGGAGGCAACCACUCAAGGCCACUCUGAGAAGGGUUGAACGUGCUUUAAAUUAAAAGGACUGAGGAUCAUGUGUGUUGGUGUGUCCUGGACUCUGCUCUAAGCUUCUGAAUCUGAGGGGACCACCAGCACCACAUCACCCCUUUGUAAGGUAAGUUCAUCAGAAUUUGCUGCCUCAAAAUCAUGCAGUGUUUCCACCUGCA